This 483-nucleotide ribosomal RNA is filed under the name uncultured bacterium. Its description in RNAcentral is "partial 16S ribosomal RNA". It matches the Rfam family "Bacterial small subunit ribosomal RNA", at positions 30 to 507 of the family's 1533-position model. The record is from RNAcentral.
AUUGAACGCUGGCGGCAGGCCUAACACAUGCAAGUCGAGCGGAUGAAGGGAGCUUGCUCCUGGAUUCAGCGGCGGACGGGUGAGUAAUGCCUAGGAAUCUGCCUGGUAGUGGGGGAUAACGUCCGGAAACGGGCGCUAAUACCGCAUACGUCCUGAGGGAGAAAGUGGGGGAUCUUCGGACCUCACGCUAUCAGAUGAGCCUAGGUCGGUUAGGCUAGUUGGUGGGGUAAGGCCUACCAAGGCGACGAUCCGUAACUGGCCUGAGAGGAUGAUCAGUCACACUGGAACUGAGACACGGUCCAGACUCCUACGGGAGGCAGCAGUGGGGAAUAUUGGACAAUGGGCGAAAGCCUGAUCCAGCCAUGCCGCGUGUGUGAAGAAGGUCUUCGGAUUGUAAAGCACUUUAAGUUGGGAGGAAGGGCAGUAAGUUAAUACCUUGCUGUUUUGACGUUACCAACAGAAUAAGCACCGGCUAACUUCGUG